UGUGUGUGUGUGUGUGUGUGUGUGUAUACACCACAUCUUGUGUCACUUUCUUAAUGGGGCCCUGACCACCCACUUAAAAUUGCUACCUGCCGCCUCCCAAGCACUCCAGUUCCCCUUAUCUUGUUCUCAUUUUUCUUUUUCCCCGUAUCACCUUCCAAUACACUGAAUGAUUUACUAAUCUCAGUUGAUUUUUCACUGCUGAUAUCCCUGUUAGAAUGAAAGCCCUCACAGGGAGCAGGGCCUUGAUCCUGUUUGGCCACUGAUGUAUCCCACGUGCCUGGAAGAGGGCCUGGCAGGUAGCAGAUGAGGAACGGAGUCUCCAGGAAGUGAAGUGACUUGCCCAAGACGCUUGGAGCGGUGAUUCAAGCCUGGAUCUGCCUGACCCUUUCUGCCAUAUCACGCUGUCCUGCAAGACACUGGACAGGAUCUCUCAUGACUCUUGAGGACAUGAUGGAUGGUCGUGAGGGCACAGAAGGGGCUCCCAUCUGGCUGAAUGACAACCAUGGAAUGUUCUUAUAAGUGGAACCAGUUUACAGGAACUUUGUGGCCAGACCACCUGUGAACAGCUGUAAGAACAAAGGAUUCCUGAGUCAAGAAGUUUGCAACAACCAGACACACCCGCUUUCCUUUUAGCAGAAAAGAAGCCUGAAUUCUGACUCAG
This is a long non-coding RNA of Lagenorhynchus albirostris (white-beaked dolphin), 661 nucleotides long. RefSeq lists it as uncharacterized. NCBI's taxonomy places the organism in Eukaryota, Metazoa, Chordata, Mammalia, Artiodactyla, Delphinidae. The transcript has 3 exons. The record is from RefSeq and is a predicted model, not a curated record.